UACGAAGGGGGCUAGCGUCGUUCGGAAUCACUGGGCGUAAAGCGCGCGUAGGCGGAUUGUUAAGUCGGGGGUGAAAUCCUGAGGCUCAACCUCAGAACUGCCUUCGAUACUGGCAAACUUAGAGUCCGGGAGAGGUGAGUGGAAUUCCUAGUGUAGAGGUGAAAUUCGUAGAUAUUAGGAAGAACACCAGUGGCGAAGGCGGCUCACUGGCCCGGUACUGACACUGAUGUGCGAAAGCGUGGGGAGCAAACAGG
Molecule: ribosomal RNA, 254 nt
Filed under: uncultured bacterium
Lineage: Bacteria
Description: partial 16S ribosomal RNA
Rfam family: Bacterial small subunit ribosomal RNA
Source: RNAcentral